This 40238-nucleotide long non-coding RNA is filed under the name Ananas comosus (pineapple). Its description in RNAcentral is "long non-coding RNA (ACOM_LNC001235)". Lineage: Eukaryota; Viridiplantae; Streptophyta; Magnoliopsida; Poales; Bromeliaceae. The record is from RNAcentral.
CUCUCUCUCUCUCAUUUAAUUACUUUUCACUCGAUAGUUAAGAAAAACAGCUCUUGUAAGUUUUGAGAGAAGACCUUUUGCUUCAAGUUGGGUGAGAGGAUGUUUCUGGUGUUCAGAAAUUAUACCUAGUGAGAUAAUUCGUUUUACUUGAAGACUCUUUUGGCAUUUUUUUUUUUUUUUUUUCAUUUUAGUUUUUAUCUUUAUUUUUAUAGUAGAAUAUUGUGAACAAUCUUGUUAAGACUUUAAUUGCUCUAGAUUGUUAUUCUUUAUUCAGAGGAGCAGUAAAAUCUCUCCUGCACUUUGUUGUGAUAAAUAAUUUAUAUGCAUGUUGCUGUGUGAUGUAAUCGUUGUAAUUUAACUACGGUAGGUCCCUGUCUGGGACUUUUUUCACACGUUUUCCUUUUCGGUGGUAUGGGGCGCUAGCUGGAAACCGCAUUACUCUGGAUGAAUAUUUUGUUUUGUUUCAAAUUUAAGAUGUUUGAAUCACUCUGAAUUUCUCUGGGUUUUCCAAAGAAGUAUCACAUUUUUAGAUAAAGAAAGAAAGUUCGAGAGAGAGAGAGAGAGAGAGUCGAAUAGGGCUAGGGGCCAAUUCGGUAGUGAGAGCUACGCAACGUUGUUGUGGUCACAAAAAAAAAAGAGUCUGCAUUGUAUAUUUGUAUGUAAUGUAUUCUCUCCUCAAUCUCAAAGAGAUUCUUAAACUGAAUAACAAAGAUUUGAGCGGGGAUGGAAACCACUAAAUUUCUGUUUGCCAAAACCUAAAUGGUAUUUCCAAACAAGAACAUAUUGGAAACUCUCUAUCUUUUGAUUGUGGGAUUUAAUAGCAACAGUUUAAAAGUUUGAAUAAAAAUUACUAAAAAUUACUACAAAUUAAAGUUGAGGCCUCGGAGUUUUGAGGACCAAAAGUGUAAUUUACCCUUCUAGUUUUUUUUUUUAUUUUUUAUUCUUAGUUCUUUGUUUGGUACCUAAAGAGAUUUGAUGGUAUUUUUCAUAACGCAAAUGAAUCUUAUUCAAUUUCCAUGAUACGUAGUCAUAUUUGGCGAGAAUUUAUUUUCUAUUGAUGGUACUCAAUAGAUUAUUCCGAAAUACCACUUUAAAAUAGUUAUAUCUUCUUUGGCAUCGAAUAAAACAAAAAAUAAUCACAUGGACAUGAUUUUUUAAUCUUUCAUCAAAAUAACUAAAUAAAAUAGAAUUGAAUUUAAAUUUAUUCCAAACCGAAGAAUUUAUUGAGCAAAUUCAACUGAAUUCUUGUCAAGAUUUCUUUGAAUUCUAUCUCAGAUUUGGUGCUAAACUAAACAGUAUAAGAGAUAUUAAUGCAUGGAGGUAAUUGAAUCAGCAACUGUGGAGCAAGAUAAAUAGCACACAAAUUAUUGAGCAAUAUAAAUGCAAAAAAAAAAAACCAAUUGUUGUCUGGGCAGUGAUAAAGUUUCACCACAUUCUCUCACAGUAGCUUAAAGAUUGAUAAUCGAAAGUCGAAAGUAGAGCUAACAAAAUAGCAUAAGAAAUAUAACAGUACACUUACAUUUAUGUUCAAAUAAACUACCAUUAUUUCCAAUAUAUUUUUGUUGUCAAAAACACAGAAAAUUUAUUUCUAGCGCAAGUGGCAAAGGACUUAGUGGUUGGUAUCCAAGCUCUCGAGUUCGAAUCCUAAUUGAUUCACAUUUUCAGCUAAGUUUAUUUUUUAUUGAAAUAAGCGAAGCGGGUAGCAUGCUACCUAUCUCUCAAAAAAAAAACCACAGAAAUUUUGCAAGCAUAGGCUUAUUCUAGCUUUAUCUGCAUCCUCUAGAGUUUCUUAUAUAGAGUUUACAUACGUACAUGUUUAAAGAGGUCACUAUUUCUAUAUUUACAUUCGUAUUGCGAAUAACAAAUAAUCAAUCAUAGUUCCAUUGAUCAAAACAGAAAGAAAGAAGUCAAAUACCUGUUUGGCCAAGCUUUACCAUGUAACCAUUUGAAGCUUUUGCUGCGGCAAGAAGCUGAUUCAACUUUUAGCCAAAACUGAAACUUUAAUUUGAAACUACUACAGUUGACUAUUCAGAGGACCCUAACAAAGCAUCUAUUAUGGCUUCUUCGAGCAGGAGAGCUCUUGCUCCGUAAUCUUAAUUCUUAAUCAAAUCAUAAUCUCCCUAAGCAGGGAUCCGCUUUUAUCCCGCAACAUCAACAUCAAUAACUCACUCUGGAGUACCUGGCCAAAUUUCAGCAUCAUUGAGUUUCUAUUGUCGUAAGAAGAUGGAUGAGCUUUCUACUCAAAACUGAAGCUCUACUGGCGAAGCUUCUGCUGCAGAAACCUGUUCACAGGAUUCUAAUAAAUAGUUCAUUAUCGCCUUUUCAAAUAACUCUACUUAAAUAAUACUUUCUUCAAUGCACCCCCGAUAUGUUCUCCACCCUACUAAACCUACCACAUUCGUAUUGUGAUCUUCCUCUGCAACGUCUGCAACCUAUCCCGCAACCAUAACAAUUCCAUCGCAAACUCCUGAUUUACCCAUUAACCAUCUUAUUAAGCAUAAACCUCCUCGGCAACAAGCCCUCUCCACUGUCUCUCUCACCAUUUUCCCAACUACCACCAUGUCCUGCCACCUAUUCCUCACAAACAUUGCUCCAACAAUUAUCCCAUACAUAUCCCAGUUUAUUAACGUUCUUUCAACUAGCUUUACUCAACCAGUACUUUUUCUUUAAGCUCUCCAUCCUUGUAAACCAAUCGCAUUCGUAUACUCGUCUCUCCUCUCAAGCAUCUGCAACUAGCCUCUAACCACAAACAACUCACUCGCAUACUCCUGAUUGCUCAUCCCUAUCAAUAGAUUAAGUACUUUUUCAGACAUUUUCAGGUAGCUCUACUCAAUCAGUACUUCUACUAUAUGAACCUACACCCUAAUACACAACAUUUCAUUCAUAUCCUGAUCUCCCUUCGCAAACGUCCGCACUUAUCCUGCAACCGCAACAACUCCCUUGCAAAAUCCUGAUUCCCCGUAACCAACAAACCAUUAACCACCUUAUUAAACAUAAACCUCCGCGGCAAAAACCCUCUCUCCACCAUCUCCCUCACCAUUUUCCCAGCCACCACCAUGUCCUCCCCCCUCUUCCUCACAAACAUUGCACUUAUAAUUACAUUAUACGUAUCCAAAUUCGGCAAGCAAGCGCCUCUCACGCCCAUUUUAUCAAACAUCUCCAGCCCCUUCUCAAUCUCCCCCUCCUCGAAGUAGCACCGCAUGAUAAUAUUAUGCGUCUGCACAUUGGGCCCACACCCAUCGCGCCGCAUCUGGUCCACGAACCCCAGAGCCCGGUCGAACUCCGCCGCGUGGCAGAGCCCCCGUAUAAUAACAUUAUAGGUGGUCGAAUUCGGGGUGUAACCUCUACUGAGCAUUUCGUCGAACACCGCGAGGGCGUCGUCGACGGUGCCCUUUUUGCAUAUUACCUGGAUGAGCGCGUUGUACGCGGCAACGUUGGGGAGGACGCCUCGUUGCGGCAUUUCGUCGAGCACCUCUCGGGCCCUUCGGAGUUCGCCGCCGAGCCCCAAUCCGUGGAGCACGGUGGUGUAGGAGACCACGUCGGGGGCGCAAACCGGGUCCGUUUUGGAUCGCCGCUUCAUCUGGGCGAAGAAGUCGAGGGCUUGGCGGGUUUGGCCAGCGCGGAAGAGGCCGUGGAGGAGGAUGUUGUAGGUGGUCUUCGUGGGGAUGACCCCGGAGGCGACCAUGUCGCGGAGGAGGUCUAGGGCUUGGGAGGUGCGCUUGAGGCGGCACCAGCCCUCGGCGAGGAUGUUGUAGGUGGCGGCGUCGGGGGGGAAGCGGUGCUUUAGGGUUUUGAAGAGGGAGGUGGCCUUGUGGACGCGGCGGGACUUGGAGAGGGCGUCGAGGAGGGAGUUGAAGGUGCGGGGGGUGUGGAGGGAGGAGGGGGAGGAGAGGAAGAGGCGAACGGCGCGAUCGGGCUUACCGGAGAGGACGAGGCGCUCGGCAAGGAGGGAGAAGGUGCGGGGGGAGGGGGCGAGGCGGGGGGGGNGAAAAAUAAUAUAUUCUACAAAAUUGUUUAAAACUAUUUAAAACCUAAUUAUUUAUAGAGAUUAUGAGGAGGCGGCGGCGGAGGAGGAGGAGGGAGUGGACGCGGCGGCGGUCGCGGAGGCGCGCGGCGAGGUCGAGGGCGAGGUCGAAGGUGGAGGCGGAGGGAGCGAGGUCGCCAUGGCCAUGGCGACGGGGGAGGUGGAGGAGGGAGCGGAAGAAGAGGAGGGCGCGGGGGGCGUGGUCCCAGAGGCGCUUGAGGACGGCGUCGGCGAGGGAGGCGGGGAACGAGGGGGAGAGGUUCGAGAGCGCGAGGGCGAGGCGUCUAGUGUUAGGGUUUUGGGGGAGGAGGAGGGAGAUGGUGGAGUAGGAGGGGUUUUAUCGACUGGGAGGGGCAUUUCGUCGAACACGUAUACGGAGCGAGAAUGCGGGGAGAUAAACUCGGAGUGAGAGAGGGAGAGAUGGUGGAUUUGCAUGGACCCGGUCCAUCCUUACGUAUCCCGAGCACCGUUGCCUGAAUAACUUUCAUGCGGAAUUCAAAUUCAAAAUGAAACUUUAAAAUUAAAUAGCAAUAUACCAAUUCAUAUUUAAAUCAAAUUUCUAGAAUUAAAAAUUGAACGUAGUAUGAAAAUUAAUUUUGCAUUGUUAUCAAACUAAAAUUGAAAAUUUUAUUGUUAGUUCGAAUCCACUGUAAAAAUUUACAAGUUGCAUAAAAUUUGAAUUUAAAUCUAAGCACAAGUUGAACCUAAAAAGUACAUUGUAAUUUGAAUUCAAAAUUUAAAUUUAUAGAUCAAAUUCAAGUGUGACUGCAUUUAAAAUUUAGUUUAGGUUUAAAUUAAAAUAUUUAUUCAAUAUCAAAUUAAAAAAUAAACUUAUAUUUUACUUUAGAAAUAAAGCUAAAUUAAAAAUUAGAUGUACAAUACAAAAUAUAAUAAGUUUGGAUAUUUUCCGAGUCUAAUUUCUUUCGAAUAUAAUAUUUUUCAAUUCGACCUUCUAAGCUGGAUUGGAAAUUAGAAAAAGCGUGAAAGAGGAAUUAAAUUCUCAUUCUAUUAGAAAAUAAGAGACGUAACGAGAUUCUUACGUACCAAACACUAAUAUUCAUCUAUUUCAAUUUUCAUUACAGAGUAAGAAAAAGUCAAAAAAAUAACUUUAAUUCUAAGAAAUUCAUUGAAUGCCAAAAUUAUUGAACAAGUUUUGACCAAUAAUUACGCUAAUAGAAUUAGUUCACACAACUUAGCAAAUGACAUGUGAUUGAGAGUACAAAAUAAGUUGAGAAAAAUGAAUUAAUGCAUGCUAUCCUUGUUGUCAUCAAAGAGUCAAAAACACACAGAAACAUUUGCUCUGUUACAUUACUCCAGUCUCAAGAAAUCAAAUGUAUAUAAUAUUUUUUACACACGUAUACAAAUUCACACCUAUAAUAAUUAGAAAAUAAAGAACAUGCUGCACUAUGGCUAGCUUAUUUCUCAAAAGCAUAUCAAGAUCUCGGCAAACAUACGUACAUAUAGACACACGCAAUCAAGCACACAUGCAUGUGCGUACACACAAAUACAUAAUUCAAUAUUUAGAGAGAGAGAGAGAGAGAGAGAGAGAGAGAGAGAGGGUUUACCUAGCAUAUGGACAUCGGAGCAGAGUUGUUUUUUUGAGAAAGAGGUAGCGAGCUAUCUGGUUCAUUCAUCAAGCAAAAUGAACUAAGCGUACAUGAUGGAAGCAGCUAUGGCCUCCUAAGGAACAGUAAAAAGGAGAAAAUGAACAAAAAAGGAAAAAUAAAAAAAUACAAAAAUAAGAGAACAAAUAGAGAAAUACAAAAGUGAGAGAACAGGAAGAGAAAGGAAGGGAUCACAGGUCGUUUCCGACGAUCAUCAAGGUAAGAACGUCCAGUCGUUUGUCAAGGUAUGGACGCGCUCAAGAGCUCUAGUAGCAUUGGGGCGGUACUCGCGGAAGAUAGUGUUGUUGCGUUCCGUCCAAAUGACCCACCAGGUUGCUGCCAAAAUGGUUAGACAUCUUAUUCUCCUCGUUGCGUCGGGGAUGCUAGAAGUAUUUGCCCAAAGACUUCGCACAUCACUCUGUCCCGAGUCAGUUGGGUCUAAGCUUCCAUCACAGAAAAAGAGGUAUCUGACGAAUACACAGUUGCAGAAGAGAUGGUCACAACUUUCUGAGAAUGUAGUGCAGAAAACGCAAUGCUGGUCCACGGGGCAGCCUUGGCAAAUCAGUCUGUUGGUAAUAAGUAGUCUUUUGCGGAGCAGGAUCCAAAUGAAGAUUUUGAUUUUGACCGGAGUUCGUAAACCCCAUAAGUGUACAUACGUCGUGUCUCUCUCUCCUGCGUCGGUAAUGAAGUUAUACAUCGGAGCAGGGUUGUGCUUCAUAAAUAUGUAGCUUUCAUACGCUUCCUAUAAUAAGGACAAUGUUUUGGGUUGAAGAGAGAAGAGUGGUGGUUGGAUUCUAACCCAUCCCACCAAUUAUUCUCGCAGCAAAUCUUCACAGCUCUCAUUGAACAAGCGUCGGACCGGCCGAAAAGAGGAAGUUUUUUCAGAUUGAAACACCCUAUAAUCUUGAUCUCUUCCAGCGACGGAGCAUAAAUGUUUAGCUCGUAUAUGUGCUGUAGCUUCAGAAGCUCCUGCAGAUGGAUGGACCUCAGUUUCGGAAGUCGAUUUGGACCAGCUUCUUUUUCAUCUUCAUUAUUAUCAUCAUCAGAUUUGAAAAUUGCCGUUAAAUCGCCGCAAUAACUAAUGUUUAUUGUUUCUAUUAGAUGUGACUCGAAAUCUACUAUCGAUUCAGGUUCGGAUUUACGACUCGCCGACAGCUUCGCGGUGCGACCAAUUUGGAAAAGAAAAUUAUGGAGGAAAAAUGAAUGUCUGUGGUGGGUAGUGGAGGGCUCGGGCCGACAAUAUUUGUUGGAUAUAUUAUUAUUAUUGGAUAUUUUGUUAUAAUAUAAUCCAAAUAAUAUGUUCACAUACAAGUCCAAUAAGUGAAAGCGUAUUAAGACCCAUAUCUCUGGAGCCCAAUAGCUUAUUUAUUAAAAUCUAGGGUUUCCUACGCUGGAGGUAACACUAUUGAGCGUUCCAAACUUGACGUCUCUUGGUGUAAUACUUUAAGCACCUAAAAACCCUAACCUCCAACAAUAUUGACCCAAUUUUAACUAAACUCAGAUUAUUCACUCAGCUUAUAUAUAUAUAUAUAUAUAUAAUAGUGUAAAGACUCUAUAAUCUAUCGAAAAAUUAUAUGAGGAUUUAAUUUUUUUAAUUUUUGCUUUUGAUAAAAAUUGUAAUGUUGUACGAUAUGCGGUCUUACCAUAUAAUUUAUAUAUACUCUUUAGGAAUUGGUGUUACAAAGAAUAAUAAAAAUAUUAUCAAGAUAUAAAAACAUAAUAGGGAUUGAUCUAAAAUAAAAAUAAAGCAUCUACUAUAUAUAUAUAGUAUAAUAUAUAUUAUAGUAUUAUAUAUAUAUAUAUACUAUAUAUAUAUGAUGAUCGUCUUAUUCGAGCUUUUCUAUCCUAUAAUAAACUCAAGCUCGAUCGAAAUGAAUUAUUCGAGCCCUUUUUUUUAUUCAAACUGGCUGAUUUAAUUUGAGUCGAGCGUCGAGGCAGAUGACCAAAUAUUCAGUAGUCGAAUGCGAGCACGGAUUGCUCAUUUUGCCAGUCUAAGAUAAGAUAAAUAAUAAAUUACUUCCAAAAUAAGUUACAGAUUAGAGUAAUCCUCCUCUCUCUUUCUUCUCUCACAGUCUCUCAUUAUUUCUAAUAUAUAAUAUAAGUAUAUAGAGUGAGGCUACUGAUACUAUGGGAAGCACUGAGCUUCUUGUAGCUUCAGCUCGGUUUCGAUGUUGCAACUUUCGAAAUCGUCGAUCGUUCUGCGUUAAACUUGAUCUAGUAGUCAUUGAUAUACUAGAAAAUAAUUUUAUAUUUUCGAUAUUAAUUUCAUGCUAGUGACUACGAAUGGGCAUCAAAAAUCAACAAAUUUAAUUGGCCGUGAUUAAAACUAUUUCAGUUUAACGAUGUAAACAUAUCCCAAUCACGUAAAUUUUGAUAGAAUAAUUUUUUAUAUUAUAUAAAAAGAUCAUAUCUUUGAUUUAAAAUUUUAAUGUCAUAGUAUAUACAUUUAUAAGCUUUUUAUUUUACGUUGAUUUGAGCCCUCAUUCCUAGGAUAAUUGAUAAUCGGUAAAUUAAAUUAAUUUCUAGGUACUGUCGAAUACUCUUAGGAUAAGUUUAAGAAACGGAACCGUGAGAUUUCGACAGUCGAAAACAAUCGAAAAACCUGAAUCCUGGAAUCACGGAAGAGCUCGUGCUUUCCGAUAGCAUAGUACUCUCUAUAUAUAUUUAUAUAUAUGUGGAGAGAGAGAAAAAGAGUGCAUUUGGCGUUUUUUUUUUUUCUUCUUUUUAACAAUUUUUGUGUUGCGAUAAAUUUUAUAUAUAUAUAUAUAUUUUUUUUUUGGCUCCGACACCAACACGGAGAUCGAGAAAGCGGAGAAUUCCCGCGUCCGACCUGGUCGCUGUCGUUACUUCGCGCACUGACACCUACGAAAUUACUUAAAUGCCCUUACGAAACUAGAUAGAGAGCAGCGAAAGCAGAGGGUAUUUUCGUCAUUUUAGCGUAGAGGUAUUAACAAAAACUUAAGAAAAAGAAAAAAAAAGAAAAAAUAUAUAAAAAGAAUAAAAACUAGAAGAGGUGGUUUUGGCAGAGGUGUACUGGGACAGGAAAAAAAAAAAGAAAAGAAAUUAGUUGGAAAAAAUUGUUCUUUUAUAACAUUUAUGUCAUAUAGAAGGGUAUAUAUAACAUGAGAUAAUAAAAAUAUUUAUUAAAAGCAAUAUAUAACUUUUAUAUUAAAAUAAUAUUAAAAAAUUAUUUAUAUAUAUAAAUCUUAUACUCAAUGAUAUUUUAAAUAAUAACUAGGGGUGUAGUAUCCUCAUAUAUAUAUAUAUAUAUAUAUAUNUAUAUAUAUAUAUAUAGUGUAGAACUACUAUACUAUCGAAAAUAUAGAGGAUUUAAUGUUUUUUAAUUUUUGACUUUUUGAUUAAAAAUUGUAUGGUUGGGACGAUUGCGGUCUUCCAUUAGAUUUAAUAAUACUCUUAGGAUUGAGUGGUCCCUACAAGAUAAUAAAAAUAUUAAUCCAAAGAUAAAAAACGAUUAAAGGGAUUGAUCUAAAAAUUAAAAAAUCGAAAGCAGCUCUACUAUAUAUAUAUAUAUAUAUAUAUAUUCGAUCUUUUCGAGCUUUUCGAGCCUAGUAAUACUCAAGCUCGACUCGAAAUGAAUUUCGAGCCCUUUUUUUUAUUCAAGCUCGGCUUAUUUAAUUUCGAGUCGAGCUCGAGCGAGCCAAAUAUCGAGUCGAAUGCGAGCCGGCUUGCUCAUUUGCCAGCUCUAAGAUAAAGAUAAAUAAAUAAAAUUACCAAAAUAGUACCAGAAUAAGUAAUCCUCUCUCUCUUCUCUCUCUCUCUCUCUCUCUCUCUCUAUAUAUAUAUAUAUAUAUAGAGUGAGGCUACUAUGCUUCUGGAAGCACGGAAUCGAUGUUGCGACUUUUGAAUCGUCGAUCGGUUCCGUUAAACUUGAUCUAGAGUAUUUGAAGUACUUAGAAAAUAAAUUUUAUGAUUUUUCGAUAUCAUUUGCCUAGUGAUCGAAUGAACUAUAUAUAUAUAUAGAGUGAGGCUAGUAUGCUUCUGGAAGCACGGAGCCUUCCGUGCUUCCAGGUCGUUUUUGAUAUUGUGACUUUCGAAUCGUCGAUCGGCUCCGUUAAACUCGAUCUAAAGUAUUCGAAUUACCUAGAAAAUAAAUUUUGUAAUUUUUCGAUAUCAUUUGCCUAGUGAACAAAGGGGCUCAAAAUCAAUGGCUGAAAAUAAAAAUCUCACAAAACGUGAUAAUAUGACAUUAAAAUUUUAGAUCAAAGAUAUUGAUCUUGUUUUAUAUAGUAUAAAGAAUUUUCUAUCAAAAUUUCAGGUGAUUUGGAUAUUUCUACACCGUUAAACUUGCAAACGGCUCACCACGGCCAUUAAAAUUAUUGAUUUUGAGUCCUUCGAUCACUAGGCAAAUGAUAUUGAAAAAUCAUAAAAUUUAUUUUCUAAGUAUUUCAAAUACUCUAGAUCAAGUUUAACGCAGCCGAUCGAAAAUUCGAAAGUUGCAACAUCGAAAAUGACCUGGAAGAAUGGAAGGCUCCGUGCUUCCAGAAGCAUAGUAGCCUCUCUCUCUCUCUCUCUCUCUCUCUCUCUCUCUCUCUCUCUCUCUCUCUAUAUAUAUAUAUAUANNNNNNNNNNNNNNNNNNNNNNNNNGCCCGGAGCUCCCCCAGGGCUGUUCCUGUGGCGUCGGCCGCCGCUUCUUCUCCCUGGCGCCGCGCAAUGACUGAUUGCAGGCUGACACACGCCCAAGCCACCGCCGCCGCCCUUCGCCGCCGGCCAGCUGUGAGCACGGCUCCGCCUGGGCCGGCCACACCCGGUCCGCCUGGCGCGGCCUCCCUUGUCGCCGGAUGCAUCCUGUUUGGCCGGUUCUGGGCCGAACGUCCCUCGGGCUUAGGUGCCUAGGGCAUCGUCGCCGUCGACGUCGGCCGCCUCCGUCGCCUGCGACUGCGGAAGCACGACCCCUUUGACUGCCUUGCACUGCCCUAAGCCGGCCUUCCGCCGUCGGCCCGGCGGGCCCCCCCGAGCCGUCUAGCUUCAAGAGUAAGUAGCAUUGCAUUAUAUUGUGCAUGUUUGGGUUGUGUAACCGGUGUUCCGGCCAACGAGCGCAGUUCCGAUGCCUCGGAAGUGAGCACCGCAGUGUAUCUUUAGUCAGUGCUUGAUCACAGAUGGCUCACCUCCACGGUCAACGAGCGCCUCGAUUGGUGUCAUUUUGAAGUGUUUUUUUCAGUUUGGCAGCGCACAUGUUCUUUGCUGAAUGUCGGUCGCUUGUGCUCUGCACGCGCGUGGCAGCUGCUCCGAAAAGGUGAGCACGGCCUUUCGGCACGCCGAGACCUGUCAGCAGCUGUUGUCUCGGUUUGGCUGAAUGGAUUUCUAGUUUGUUAGACGGACAAUAAAAGCCGCCGAACAUCGCAUGAAAAUAAUGCGAUUUCGGGUAAUCGGGGAGGGCUUUUAUGUUAUUUUUGGUGUGGUGUUGUGGCUGCUGUUGGGCAGCAUGGUUGUGAGCAGUGGUGAACCUUUGGACUGAUUGUCCAAGGGCCCGGACCUUUCCGAAGAUCGUUAAAUUGCAUUUUCGCUGAUCUAGCGUUUGUCGGCAAAAUCCGCCGACGGAACGCGGUUUUUCGGUUGAAUUUAUUCAGACGGGUGCUUCGUGCAGCUUUUGUGUUAGUCGCUGCAGCCUUGUUGGCGGUCACUCGCUCAUUUCGACAGUUCAAGAAUGCAGUCGUUGAGCGACGGUGUGGUUCCGGCUGCGAAACUAGACACAUCGGGAAACCCGGGAUCACAACAAUUAUUCCACAAUAGUUGUUUGGUUUGUGUUAUCCUCAUGUGUUUUGCUGCCAUGUCACACUAAAAUAAGUUGGUUUUUAGUCGGCAAUGCGUAAUGAUCGUGGGCAUGAGUCGGAUGCUUCCCGGAUAGUUUAGUGGUCCCGCGGCGAGCCCGCGUCCCGGGAUGCGAUUUUCGGGACUUCCGGGCGAGCUUAUGUAAUCGGUAUUGGAAGUUUCGAUUUCUGGGAGUUGGUUGUGGGUUAUCUUUUAGGGGUUUCUUAGCUGUUGGGUUAGACACUAACCCAGGUGGACCUCCUUAGGUCCGGUUGACAUUUUUUGCAGUCAGGAGACAGGCGCGAAGUGUCAGGUGCGGUACUUCGAUCCGCGUUGGCUACAGUUGGUGCACGCUAGAGUGAUGUUCCUUACCUUGCUCUUUUCUUAUUAUCCAGUGCAUAUAUUAUUGAUGUUGAGCCUUUACACCUCUAUCGUUUACAUUACGACCCACGUGUUUGAUUAUACUCUACGUCACGUUUCAUAUGCUUAGUAUCAUGUGUAGGAACGUAUAAUCUAUCUGUAUGUGAACCAUGUUAUCUUGUUGCUUUUACUUACGCUAUUCUGCCAUACCCUGUUUCUAAUUUUUAGUAGAAGCGAUUCUUGUAUUAUCUGGAGAAUUGUGUGAUCUAGUCGGUCGAUUCUUAGUAUUCAGGUAUUGUGAACCUAUUCGGUGAGUUUCCUUAUCGACCUUUGUUGUCUGAUGAGAACACCGUUGAGGUCGGGUAUACCCUGAGCGGGUGAGAUUGUCGGUUAGUUGCCGACGGAUGAUUGAUACUUUACUCUAUCAUAUACUUGUGGACGUGAUUUGUCGGUCGAGUUUCAUAUCCUAUACUUGUGACAUGAUUGGUUGAGUUUCUUACCUCCUUGCUACUUGUGAUGCCGAUUGGUUGAGAUUUCAUAUCUAGUGAGUCUGAGUGGUCAGUCCUUGAUGGUUCAUUGAGCCGUAUUGCACGAUGUUUGAGAGGAUGUCGAUAUUGUCCCAUCCUAGUUGACCUGAGUGGCGGUUCUUGUGUGCUCUUUACAGUUGACGACCUAUUGCGGUCGAUGGGCCCUGGCUGGGUGGUAGGCUAUUGUGCGGCUGGUUGCCGACGGUGGUUGAUCAUUGAGCAUAUUGUAUUUGAUCGCCCGAUUACUUCGUCGCAUUUCACGGAACACUGGGCGAUCUGAUCACCGCAAGGUGUAGUGUUCUUUUCGGAAAAAGUGGUUGAAUGGGUGAACAACCCGUGAGCCCUAGAGCGCUUAUAUGCACUGUGAGAUAGUAGUGAUUGGCUUGAGGUCUGCGGUGCUGACCAAGAGAGCAUUGGUUUCAGAUUGGGUACUUUUGGACUUCUUGAUCGGUUGAUGCAUAUGUCUAUAGUAGCAGUCAUUGCAUGCAUACUUACAGUUCUUACUUUAUAGUUGUCUUGCUGCUAUAGUAGAUAUUCAUGUAUGCUUUCGGUUCCAGUUACAGUAGCGGUAGCCGUUAUUCAGUCUAGUUCUUACUUUCUUUCAGUUUAUUGCUACUGUAUUCGGUAUAUCUGCUCUUUACCUUAUUAUUGUUGCUACUAUAUUUCCACUGACCCUUGUUGUUAUUUAGCUCUUCCUGAUCCGGUGAGUACUCCUCGCCUUCAUCGGCUUGCGGUACCCACUGGGAGGGGAGACAUGUUUACAUGUUCUCACCUCCCCCACCAUUUUUCAGGUAUCGCGGGCGAUGAAUAAUGGGACGAGACGUGAGGUACGUGUGUAGCGUUCGAUAGAGCUUCCAACCCAGGUUAUUUCGACUUAGUUAUUACCCUUAUUAUUUCUGUUGAUUUAUAGCUUAGUCGGUUUACAUGGUUCAGUUUUGUGUUAUUAUCUGAAUAUCUGAGUUUUCAGUUGGUUUUGGAAUGUAAUAAAGGAUUUGUGUUUUCUUGAAAUAAAAGGUUUUCUACCUCUCGUGGCAGCGUUUUUUUUUAAGGAACAAAGGUUUCCGUGUAGGAAACAAUUUUCAAAAGGUUUUCUGUGGAUUUUGCAUAUUAGUAUUUCAAAACCUGUUUCUGUGGUUGGAAACAUUUUAACUGAUAGAUGUGAAUUUAUGUUUAAAUAUUGAAUGUAUAAAUGUGAACCUGUGAUGUGAAUGGUGCAUGAAUAUAUAAUCGUUGGUUAUUUGUAUAUUCAUUUGGUUGUGGUUGUACCUGGGUUACUUCUUGUACUUGUGUGACGCCGUGCAAAUACAGGGGAGACUCUGUCCGUGUGAACAGUGGAUUUCCUGUGUUUGUGGCGGAUCUGGCAUACUCUGGGGUCAGGUUUUUAAAAAAAAAAAAAAAAAAAAAAAAAUUCAGACGCUUUUCCGCUAUGUUUUAAACUAAAAGGGACCCCGGGGCGUGACAAGUUAAGUUCUUUCUAAUUCCAUUGUCUUAGUUUUCGUCAUCGAUGAUCAUCUUUUUUUUCCGAAGGCGAGAAAACUUUGACUCGGUAAUAUUCAUCACUAAAGCUUCUUCAUCGUCUUCAAGAAUUUUUCGCUGAAUAUAAUUUUGAGAAAAAUUCUGACUUCUUGUUGAUUUAGUUUCUUCAUUAUCUUUAAGAAUAUUAUGUUGAAUAUGACUUUGAGGGAAAUUCUUGUUUCCGAUUGAUUCAUCUUCUUAUCCAUCAAGUUCCUCAAUUGAUAUGCCUGUGUAGUUGUAAGUAAUUACCUCACCUUUUUUGGCCUCUGCAACUUUAAUAUAUAGUUAGUAAGUAUGAUUUUUUCAAGCAACUUUCUAAUUUCCUCACAAAUUGGUCAAUAUUAUAUUCCUGCAAAAUUGAAUGACAAAUAAUAAGUAAAUUUAUUAAAUUAUUUUUUGUAUUAUUAUAAUACACGUGGUACCUUUAAUUGCCGAAGUUCAUUAACGUUGCAAUUCAACAAUUGCCCCACUUCCUUUUGAAACAUUGAUACCCAAAGCUCGCCAGUAUCAUCAGCAACUUUUAGACGAAACAUAAACAUGUAAAAACUUAACAAGCACUUAGAUUUUUAUUUAACUUUAACAUAUAAGAAAAUAAUAUUGCUAAUAUUACUUAUAUUCAAUAUCAGUAUCUGAAUUGGGACAGAAUUUGCACUGUUAAACACCACUAAUUUCUAUAAUUUUCUUGUAGAAUCCCUUACAAGCCAUGUACCAAGGAUCUUGCUUUUUGUUUAACUCCACCACUUGUAUUUUUAACUCUCAUAACUGGAAAUAAUAUAUCAUCAAAAUUUAAUUUUUUGGUAUACAAAUAAAAGAACAAUAUACCUGUUUAGAUGCAUUAACAAGAUCUCCAGUAAUCUCCUUAAUAGUAGCUCUUUCAUUUUUCAUAUAUAUAUAUAUAUAUAUAUAUAAUUGAUAUUUGUUUAUAUAAACCACCCAAAAGGAGUGGGGGAGGAUGGUUCCCAUAGAAUCAUUAAAUAAUAAUCAACUUAUAAUUUUUAUUUAAAUAUAUUAAUUUAAUAUUUAUUAAUACAUUUUAAAAUUUUGAAUUAUAUUAAUCUACUUGUGGGAUGAUAGUCGUUCUUAAUUUUAAAGAAUAAUCCGGAGUUUUGAAAAAAUUUUUUAAAUGUCAUAUUAUUUUAAAAAGUUUUAAAAAUUCUUUUUCAUAAUGAAAAAGAGAAAGGUAUUGUUUUAAGUAAAUAAGCGUUUUAAAGUUUUUAAAUAUCAGUUGAUUAAUAAUAGAUCUAUAAUUAAUAUUACAAUAUAUUAAUUGAAUAUUUAUUGAUAUUACAACUUUUAAUAAAAUUUAAUCUCGUUAAGAAUAAAAAUUAAAUUUAAGAGAUAUAGUAAAAUUUUUUAUAAAUUUUAAAAUUUUUUAUGAUUUGAAGUUAAUCACAGAAUUAAUAUAUUGGAAGUUAAUGUGAAAACAUGGUUGUUUUAAAAUUUAAUUUUACUGUUUAAUACUACUACUUCCACUUUUUUUAUGUCACGUCGUCUUAAUUAAAUACUUUUGAUAAUUUUGUUUCAAAUUUAUACGUUUUAGUAUUUUAUCUAUUAUAAUAAACAACUUAACAAACUUCAAGAGAAAAAGGUUGGUUUUUACGUAAAUAAAUCUUUUAUUUUUUAUAAUUCAGUGGAUUAAUAAUAGAUCUAUAAGUAAUAUUACAACAUAUUAAUUUAAUAUUUAUUGUUAUUACAUCUUUCGUUAAAAAAAAAUAAAACAUCCAAGCAUAAACUAAGCAUCAAAAUCAACUAAACUGAUUGGAUUUGAGAAAAGAGGUUAUUUGUUUCUUUGUUAGGGUUUGUCUGGAAACCUUAAGGGUUUUUUUUUUUCUGAAAACUUUAAAAGUUUUAACGAAGCAAAAGAUACGUACUGAAAACCCACUGGUACGACACAACUUUUGUUUUUCUGUUAUUAAAUAAUAGUAUCUCGAGAGUUGUGAUAUUUAUGUACCAAGAAUUUCAGAAUUCCCUAUUAAAACCUAUAGAAAAUUACGCAACGUGAAGAUUGUCUAGUGGUAGAAGACAGUUUGUUAGAACACUCUUUUAAAUUGUUGACACCUUCCACUGUAAUAGUUCUUCCACUAAGUUCUAUCCGGAUAAAAUUAACGUUGAAGGGACUUACAUGUUCAUGAAGUUUCCAUUUUUUAAAAUAUAUUAGUUUAUACACGAAGACUAUAGUAUAAAACGUUAGUAUUAUAAAUUCAAAACUUAAAAAAGAGAUUAGUAGUCCGUAAAGUGAAAGAUGUUGUAGUUUAUGUUACGAGCUUUAAUUAGGUAGUUGUUUCCUUCGUUUCCUAAAUUCUCUUACCAUUUAUAUUUGCGUUAUAUACUUAUUAAUUGUACAUAUAAUCAAUGAUAAAUGAAGAAACUUACAUAUAACAUCCUAAAGUUUUUCGAAUAAACUGUGAUUACUUUACUUGUUUUAUGUUUUAUACUGCUUAUGCCGGUUUUANGAUGAUGUGGGCCUCCUAGGGUUGGGUGGGUGGUUGGUUUAAUAGUAUGAUCUAACGGAUGAAAAUGAUCAAAGAUGUAGAUCUAACGGUAAAAAAUUUACAAGCACCAAGUGCUUGGUGCUUUUACAAGCACCAUAGCCGGACUAUAUAUAUAUAUAUAUAUAUAUAUAUGGAUGCUGCCACGUACCCCCAUGCAUGCAUGCUUAUCCAUGUAUUUAAUUGAGGGUUGCAAUCAACACCUCUUUAAUUAAUUUUCCUUCCUCUCUUUUUCUCUGGAGCCGUACGUAAGGAGGAGGAGCUUGGGUGGAGCGUUCGUCGCCGACGUCGCGUCGUGGAGCCGUUCGAGCGCACGUUUGUCGCCGUAGCGUCGCGAGGAGGCCGGGCGAGGGUGCGAUUCCACCGUUCUUGACGUCGCGCCGGAUUGGAUUAGCGAUCGAGGUGGGUUUAUCAUCGGAUUUCUACUCCUAUAGCCUUGUUAGUCAACAUGUAUAGUUAGGAUAUCUGCGUUGGUAUUGUUUAGCUCAUAUUCAUGUUUAUGCAUUGUUCUAGGCCUAUAUAUUGAAUUGGGAGCAUGUUACUGUUUGUUAUUAAUUAUACAUGUUGGACUUGGAUAAAACAUAGGAGAAAACCAGUGUUCGGAACCUGUCAUAUGUUAAACUACCUGAUUUAGCCUUAGGGGCCCUUGUACUUUUAUACAGUUGCAGUGUUCUUGUGGUGAGUACCCCAGGUAGUCUAAUUUAUUGUUACACUCGUGCUGGGAUGCCGAGUCUAUUUUUACAGUAGUGUUUAGACUGUUACGGAUUAGUGGGUGCCGUCGCGGUUGACGGUGGACCCGGAUUUGGUCAUUUUGAGAUUUGAUUGUGCCGAGGGCACGUGACUAGUGGUUAGUAGCCCAAUUGGACUUAUUUUCUUGACUUUAGCCUGUGAGAGCCUGAUUGAGCUCGACAGAGAUGCGCUUGCAUACUCGGUUGGGUCGCGCCCACGAGUUGCCGCUCCGUAGUUUGGCUUUGUGCUUUCGCGUUGAUGUCACUGACUAGUUUUGCUAUCCACAGACUGUUUUGCGUGGAGGUAGCGUGACUUAGACAAGCGGGACGGUUGCGUUCACAGUCCCCGGGACUGGUGUGUUCACAGUCCCUAUUGAGAUUGAGUCAGAUUUGACAGUUACUACAGUUAGAUAGUAUAGAGACAGGUAGCUGUAGAUUUCUUUUCAGCUUUAACUACUAGUUUGUUUCUGACUGUAGUCUUAGUCGGUGGACCGAUAAUGUUGAGGGCGGUACCCACUGAGGACUACUUGUUUUUACAGUAGUUCUCACGCCCAGUUGUUACCACUGUUUUGUAGAGCCACCGGUUUCAGUUGCUGCGCCUUCCGAGGCUGAUCGAGGCAAGGGCGUCGCGAGUUAGAGCCCUACCCGACGAGUUGCUGAGAUAGAGGAUCCACUACUGCAGGUAGUUCCGGUUUAUUUUGUUGAGUUCAUGUACAUACAGUUGUUAUAACUCGCUGGAGCGAGUACCUUUGUAUAGCGUUUUGUUGUAUGUAUGUGAGACUUGUUUUAUUCUACCUGUUUGGUUUCUUUACAGCUCUAUACUACUGGUUGUAGUAUUGUAUAUUUUCAGUUACCGAUACGCUUCGUAUACUGGAAAAAUUCUUUGUAUACGGCGGAUUUGUCGACGUGCCCGGAAAUUGUGUAAUCCGGGGCGUGACAAGCGGUGUUUUAAACGUUGGCAAGAAUAACUCCGAUAUUUUUAAAAAGGUCGAAUAAAGAGUCAUUAAGUAAAUAUGUCAAGAUAAAUAUACAAAUAUUUUAAUAUAGCAUCAAAAAAUUUUUAUUAGUAUUUGAUUAAAAUAUAUUUAUUAGUGACACUUAAUUAUAGUGUCAGCAUAUGCAUAUAUUAAAGACGCUAGAAUAGAGCGUCGUCUAAAAAGUGCCGUCUAAAAUAUAUUCUGUUGUAGCCGCAAUAUUGAAAAUUUUGACAUAAUACAAUAAUAGAAGAGUCUCAAUAAUCACAAUCACACAAAUUACUUCUGACAAUUCUACUUAUGUACCGUCUCUAAUUGUAGUUUCAAUUUAGUACAUUAAUUUCUCCAACAAAGCAAAUCCUAUCAAUCAUAUCUCCUCUUAUAAUAACAAACCAUUAUCCAAUAAUAAUAAUAAUAAAACCAACACACCAACAUAUUAUUAUGAACUGCUAUAUAGACACACUAUUUGGAAUUCCUUUUCCUGUAAUUCCCUUCUCAUUCCCUACAUUUGAAGUGUCUGGAAAUAGCAAUGUGUAGGGAACCUUUGCUGGCCCCAGCCUAUUCUUCAGUUUUACAUUUUUGUUUCUUUCUUCUACCCUUUGUUCCACUUGCCGGAGGCUCUCCGCGAACUCAUCGAACAACCGCAGGACCUCACCGUCGUCGGUCCACCUCGACGAUGUCCUCUGCCCAAUGUACACUUCGUCGGCUAUGUGCUCGGAGAGCACCUCUAUUAGUGCCACCCCGAGAGUCGUUGUGAACCGGUCCGGCACCAUCUCCAAGUAGUACUUGUCUGGAUUGCCUAUGAACUCCGCAAACUCAGGAGUACCUGUAAAGCAAUCGAUUUUCUCCAAAAGCUUAGAUUUUCAGAGAAUUGUGUUUCUGCAUGAACAUGCUCUAAACACAUAUUUGAUUUAAAAGAGACACCUGAGUGAGACUAGAAGUCUAGAAAGACGUCUAAUCAGGUCAUUCUGACUCUGAAAUCGUGUAAAAUAAUGAAUUAUUUUUGAAAUUUUAAGUUAUUCGAGAUUUUUAUGUUAGCUCGGCAUAGUUUCAUAUCGACAUAGAAAAAAAGUGUGUCAAAUUAUACUGGCGUGCCAUUACGGCCCAUGCCAGUGGCAUGACAAAUCUUGGUAAAGAACAACGCGCCAAUAGUUUGUUUCUGGUAGUACCUUCUUGUGGGAUGAACUUUCGGCACCGUGUCGGGCGGUUUGGAGGGAAGCCAGCAUAGCCAUAUUGGCCAAAGUUGACAGCUGCAUGGAGGGCAGAAGCGAUCCAGAUGAGGGUGGUCAGACUUUGGAUUAGGUUGGCGAGUGAGUUCAGCGGAAGCCAGCAUUCAACAUCGUCGCGUUUGUCGCCAUGGCCAAUCUCGCGAAUCUCCUUCCACCACGAUUGGAGCUCGACGUCGGACGCGAUAUCUUCAUCACUAUGGUAGAAGUGGGAGCAGAAGUUGAUGACCCAAGUUUUAAUAGUAGUCCAGACAUCGAGUCCGUCCGCAGCGUAAGGAUAGUCUUCCAGGAGGAGUGUCACACCAGAGGGUUGGUUGGAGUCUCUUAUUGCUAGCCCCCUGAGGUGGUAAAGUUGGCAUAUAACAUAAAUAAAGAAAAGACAAAACGACACCUAUGAUGGUGUUUUGCUUCUUUCCUCGAGAAGCAGAGGCUCAAUUAUUUGGCAUAACAAAAAAAAAAAGACACAAACUAGCUUAUAAGUGACAAAGCUACAUGGGUAUCAUGAAGAAGUUUUACCUAUGAACAAAUAGAAUGGGAAAAAAGACAUAAUCUUUGCUUAAGAAAGAUUUCAGUUACAAGAAUGAAGCAAAAGAGUACUACUAGUCUUGAAAGAACUUAACAGAAAAGGUUGGGACCGAAAGAAUCUUAAAAAUUGUAGGAUUCACCGUUUGAAAUGCAUAUAAUCCAAGUAAUAGGUUGUGGAACCAUUUUAAAGCUGACAGUUAAAAAAAUAUGUAUUAAUGUAUAUAUAUGAAGCAAUUGCUAGUGGUAAAAGAAAUGUUCUACCUUUUAACGAGAUCUUCGGGAAGGGCUUGCUCGGUAAAUCGCCAAUUCUCGUAAAUGGUUGAGGAUAGCUCCAUGGCAUAUUUGCCCGGGAACAUAGUCCUCUCAAGGACCCCGCCGGCAUUUAGAAGUACCCCUCGCGCAAGCGCAUUUAUAUGCAUUGUGUCCUUAAAAUGAGGAUUGAGAAGCUUGUAAAUAGGAUGUAUUGUGCUCAAUUGCCUCCGUGUAGCUAUGAUGAAAGGUUCAACCGCCGCAUGUGUGUGUAGCCUACAAAGACAUUUCGGGUGAAAGCAUACAAUAUAAAUGAGCUUUGUUACAAUCUUUAGUUGAAUUCCUCUCAACAUAAAUAUGCAUUUGCGCUGUCUCAAUAUCAGAAUGUUAAUGCAAUAUGUAAAACCGUCGGUAGCAUAAGGAUCUCCUAAGAAACAAGAGAUAAAGGAGGCACUUGGCACUGUAAGUGAUUUUCUAUCCUUUUCUUAUAGAAUUUGAUGCAGGGCUGUGGUUUUUUAAUCUUCUUUUGAUAUCAAAUUUUCUUCAGGACAAUAAAAACAACAAUGCUGAAAAUACAUUUAUUCGGGAAAAAAAAAAAUAGAAUAGUUGAUACCAAAUCAUGAACCAAGAAUCUUUUUAUCGGCAACAUUCACUCACCAGUGACUAAUGAGUUGAUGGUAUCCUGAAUCAUUAACAGCAACAUGAGCUUUGGCUAGCAUCCAAAGUGCUCCCUCAGUGCCCUGGUUUGCAGGUAUGAACACCCUACUGACCUCUUGUUCCAUCCCUUCCCCUGGUAAGCUAAGCUCUAUCACCAAAGGCCUUAGAGUUCCAUCAUUCUUCAGGAACAAGAGGGUGCGGGACGCGUAGAUGCACAUUCCUUGCGCAUUUAUGCGCCUUAAGUACGGCACUAGGUAGUCGUGGUGAUCGAGGAUUAAAAUCCUCUUUUGCUUCAAAGCCUGUAUAUAGUGAUAAAAUUCAUACUUUCAGAAGAAAAAAUGGUAACCGUCAGAUACUCCUUUAAAGAUGAUAAGCAGCGAAUAAUGCACAUGCAAACAUAAGAUCUAAUAUAGAUCUUUCUCGACACAAGAUGACUUUCCAUCCAGAAUAAAAAAAUUUCAAGAAUGAAAUAAUACCAACCUGAGGAAUGGUUAAGCCCUCGAGCUUUCCCUGUAUAUGUGAGGCAUUGAUAGAGCUGUACUUCUCUUCUCUUCCAAUUGGCGGGAAUUGCUGUUUAAGGUACAAAACUCACUUAGAAAGUUUUUUUAAAAAACUAAAACAUUGAUUAAGAAAGUUCUUUUCAUUUGAUUAGGGGGGAUCCAAGACUUCUUACUUCUAAGCAUUUGAUCACAGCUGGGUUGAGCCCAGCUAGCAUUUCUCGUGUGAAUUCCUCGUCACUCCUCCACGCAUUCUCAUCAGCUGCAAAAGAGUUAGCUAAUGAUACUAACACUUGUGAAGGGAUAAAUUGCACCAAUGGGGUCCUCAAGCAAUUUCCAAAGUUUUACUUUAGUUCUCGACCUUUCUAGUUGGAUAUUUAUUUUCUUACUCUUGUACAAUUAUUUGAUUGUGAUUGUAUUUCUUGUCAAAACCUAUUACUUGACACAAUUGAACCCUUAAAAAAGUUCCUAUUGCAAAAUGCGUUGUUGUUUAUAGGUCAGGCAUUUCAUUUUUAUCAAAGAAAAAGAGAAGAAAACAAUUAAUCCAUUUCCCCUAGUGUUUUGGUGAAACUGGCUCACUUGCAAUCACUUGUGGAACCGGGAACUUCAAAGGGUUUUCCUUCGUCAACCGGAUGACUUCCUUAUAGAUAUCUUUUGGUAGGAGGGACUUCAACUUCUCCAUCACCACGCCUUCAACGAUAGACGGCUCAUGAGGCCUUGCGUAGAGGUCCUUUGUCAACUCUUUGAAUGAUUCGAAGUUGCCAAUAUCGUGUCCGAGCAGUGAUUUGACUUCGGGGAACGCGAAGUGCAAUACGGCUUGGAUCGAGUGCGUUAUGAACUCGGAGAGUUUUACAGGGCUAAACCGCUCAUCCGGUGGAACAUAGAAGUCGAGAUCUAUGAAUUUGCUCCUUGUUUCGGUUUCUCCAUCUUUGCAAGAGAAGAAGCUAGUGUUAGUGUAGAUACUAGGAUCAAAUUGUCUAACAAAAAUGCAAUAACCAUACUUCUUCUGAGAAGUCUAUACUAAACAUAUAACAUUGGUUGGAUUCGAGAACAUGUUAAAGUAUAGGUUGUGCACAAUUAUAAACUGUUUUGUUCUAAAGAAAAUCAACACUAUAUCUGUGUAUUUAGACUACAAAAGAUGAAUUUCCCUUUAAGGUAUCGAAUUUUAGGUGUUAUGUUGGAUCCAUGGCAAAGAACAAUAAUAUUACCUGCACGGCUAAGAGGUCGACCUGUACGGCCCCUGCAUGGAUAAGGGUACGUCUUGGUGCCUCCUAACACGGGCCUCACACGCUGUCUGCUGUCGGGAACUCCUAGAUCGUUGUAGUGAUCGUAGUCGUAUAUCCUCUCCCAUUGUUUCCUUUCUCCCCUUCCAUUCCCUCUAAGAUUCACUAGCUCCUCCUCCCUAAGUUUUUGCAGAGCUGUCGGAGUCUGAGUGGGAAGAUAGCUCUGCAAAUACAGCACACAAUAGAAAUUUUCUUAUCAUAGGCGGAUCCUUCUUUACCACCCUCUGAUUCAAUGCGACAAACCUGCUGAUAUGAAAAGUGAAUAUGUGACAACCACGCGAGUCAUUUUUUGUCCCAAUGUGUAGUUGCUUAAUGAUCCGCAUUGUCACAUUAACAACAAGUCUUGGCGUGGAAAGAGAGCAGAAACCAUAGGGUGGCAAAGCAUUACACUUUUAAAACAUGUUUGCUGAAGUAGAAUAGAGCAAUGACACAAGCAUUAUGCUAGGAUAUGUUCUAUCAAGUUUGUAUUUUGUAGGCUUUUCUCUAGUUCAAAUAAAGCUUACUGUGUUAGCGAAGAACAAGCGGUCGGAGUUCGUCUUUGUGAUCGGAUACACCCACGAAUUGCACUCGAAAUGGAUAGUCCUAUCUUCAAGUAUAUCGAUAGAUGCAAAUCUAAGAAAGAACUCAUGCCGGCCCCCAUUUUUCACUACGAUAGCGCCAGGGGUGCCAAAACUGUUUUCAACGGGAAUCGAGACUUGAUACGUCACCGUAUUGACAUUCCCAUGCUUACCAAUCUUGCCACCGUCAAGUGUUGCCUCCCUACUUAGCUUUCCUCUACCAGUGUCUGCACAAUAAACCAGAAUUAAUAACUAGUAAUCACAUUAUUCGAAAACGAGCUAAUUAGCUCAAGAGUUCAUAAAAGCACUUAACUGGGAUCAACUUGAGUGCUGCUAUAUAGACGGACGGUGGUUGAUUUUCUAGCAUCGGACUGUCCGAACGAUUGGGAGAUCACGACCGUUCCCUUGAGAAUUUGAUGGGCUUCCUGGGCAGGGACAGGACUGGGCUUGAAGCAUCGGUAACAAGACUCGCAUAAUAUACCCAUGUUAUCUACGUGCGGUGCUUGCGAGAUUAUCUGAGGAUUUCCAUAGCCAUCGUAGGCUUAUAUAGAGGUAAAGAGGUUAUAAGGAUUCUUUGUAGAGCAAGCAAGAUGAGUAUAUUGGAUUGACAAGGUAGAAAGAAAGAGAAGAAUGUGCUGCCUUAAGCUUUACCCUUGCAUCUGAUUUUGUUUCUCGACAGCCAUCUAGAUCUAUUCCAAAUAUUUUCUGCAGAGCCUAAACUGGUAAGUUCAUGUUACAUGAGACAUAUUGUAAUGUACAUGAACUUUUUCAUUCUUCUUUCCUUAAUAAGUUCAAGCAUUGCUAGAUAUUCAGUGCAAUCCAGAAAUGCCAGAAACUUGCUGAAAAUGUGAUUUCUGGAGAUUAGAAUACAGUAUAUUUCUUUAAACUUUGGCAUAGUAUUAGGUCUUACAUAUUUUACCGCAUAUUAUUCAGUUGUUAGUAAGUUCCCUAUUCCUUGGAAUGCCUUAGUCACAGCUUUUCUAUAAUGCCAAGAGAAGGAAAGUAGAAAGGUGAAAAUAGUUCGGAAAGUUACAAACCCUGAAGAAGUUAGUACAAAUCUGUCUCUUUUCUUUGAUGUAGAAAUCUUCUUUUUUUUUUUGAGAGCUUCGUUUAUUUCAUUUUAAAAAUAAGUUUAGGUGGAAAUGUGAAUCAACUAAGAUUCAAACUUGGGACCUCGGAUACCAACCAUCAAACUCUUUGCCACUUGUGCUAGAGACGGUCGGUUUUGAUGUAGAAACCUUGUUAUGGAUAAUCUGUUGCUUUUGGGAAAAGAGGAAACAUCCUGAUUAACGGUGCGAAAUCCAAUUGCAUGACAACAAAAAACACAAAUUCGAGAGAAUGGCUUGUAUAGUUGUAUUGCUGUCGAAAUCUAAGAACCUUUUUCACUUUGAUCAGAGUUAAUUGAAUAAGAAAAGAAUCCAGGAAAGGUAACCCAAAUCACAAGCAAGAAAUGACACGGAGCUUUUGUCAGAGCUAAUACAAUCAUGAAUUUAAGGAACUCAAGCUAAACUCAUUACAUGGAUAUGAUUAAUCAAGAAAAUAUUAGAAAAACAUCAGCAUUCAUAGAUAAAUCUACAACAACUUUUUAUCUUUUUGUUGAAUGGGAUUAUAUCAAUAAUGAUUAUUCUGAUGCAGUGGUUUGCAAAAAUCAGUAAAGUGCAACAGCAAACUGAUUGGAGAAAGCAACAUAUAUAAGUUUGGAUGGAUGAGCUAAUGGCGGAUCAAGUGAUGAUACAAUUAAGGAAUUAAUUGUGGGUGAAUCAAAUUCCCAAAAUCAGGAAUCUACCAACUUUGACAAGUAUUCAAAUUAUAAGCAAUUGUGGAAAUUCAAGAAUGGCAAUCUCUCAAGUAUGGCAACCACUCCAAAUAGAAAAUAUUUGGAUUCAAAUAUUGUACAUUUUUAGAAUGUAAUUAUGUAAAUAUUGUAAUCCCAAGAAUAAUGGGAUUAUAUUUUGUAUUCAGUAAUUGUAUAUAUUGAAAGUGGAUUUUGUGUGUUCUCUAUCGAGAACAACAACCAUUUUUCCACUAAUUACAACUUCCUUCAUGAGCAAGAUAUUCCAAAGUGGAAGUGCGCAAGUUGCCAACGAGAAGAAAUAUGACGCAAGCGUAUAAUGCAUGUAGUGAUGAUCAAAUUUCUCAAGAACGACCGAUCGUCCUUAGAGCAAGUGGUAAAGGGCUUCGUGGUUGGUACUCAAGACCUAAGUUCGAAUCCUAGUUGAUUCACUAAGUUUAUUUUCUAACUGAAAUAAACGAAACGAGUAGCGUGCUACUUAUCUCUCAAAAAAAAAAAAAAAUCUCUCAAGAACAUAGAUACCAAAUUUGAUGUAGUUGAACCCUACAUGGAGGUAACAUCGGCGAGCAUUUUUGCAGCAGUAACAUAGAGUUUGAACUUUGAACUCGAAGCAUCGAGUUUGUUCUCCAAGUUGAAUGCCAGAUGGUGGUGGAAGUUUCACAUGGCACCGGAACUUCAAUGGAACAAGAUUAUUCGAGCUUUAUACUACCGUAGAAGGAGACCACUCUAUACUGGUGUUUUUGGUUGGAGGUUAGGAUGGGAGGAUAAGGGGUUAUCUCCUUUUUAUCUCCUAUAGUAGUAAGAUUGAAAAGAGGUGGGGUUUGGAUACGUUUAGGGAUGGGGUUAACAAAUCCUACCCCUGGAAUUAGGAUGGAUUAGCUAAUUCUACUCUAAUUUAAUUUUUAUAUUUAAAUUUUAAAUUUUAAAUUUUAAAUUAUUAUUUUUAAUUUUUAAAAUUUAAAAUUUGAUAUUUGAUAUUUUAAAAUUUAGAUUUAAUCUUAAAUUUAAAAUUUAAAAUUUAGAACUUUAAAUUUUUAAAUUUAAGAUUUAAAAAAUUUAAUUUUAAUUUUGAGUUUUUCAAUUUUAAAAGUUAUAUAUUUCAAUUUUGAGUUUUUCCUUUUAUAUGUAGAUUUUGAAGUGUAUGAUUUAAUGUGAUAUUUUUCUAACAACAACCUACAAUAUGCAUGUAGUUUCAAAGUCCAACUGAGAGUGAUAGACGAGUCUGGGAGUGCUUUGUUGAUUUUAUUUGAUCGUGAGGUUGUCCAGUUUCUGCAAAGUACUGCCGCGCAAUUACACCAACAAGUUUUAAUGGUAAGUGCGUAUUAUUUAUCAUAAAUAUAUAUAGUCUGUUUUUUAUUUUUUAUAUACUAAUAGUAAAUAUUCUUACUCAGACGGGUGACAUGAGUUUGGCACCUGAAAAGCUUGAUGAGUUUCUGAAAAAAAUAAUGCUAUUCAAGAUAAGGAUAAAGGACAAUAAUAUCAAUCAUCCUAAGCUUGUGUACACAGUGAACAAACUGAGCAGCGAUAAAACUCUGAUUGAUGAAUUUUUGAAGAAGUCAAUUUUAAUUGAGGUAAUUGGCAAUUCUAAAUUUUAAUAUGAUGCUACAAUUCAGGUCGAUCUAUAUAUUUUUUAAUAGCAUAUAUAUAUUAAAAGUAGUUUAAUUUGAUAUGAUUUAAUUUUUAACAUAAAUUUUUAUAUGUUUGUCAUUAUAGGAGUCCAAUUCUGUAACGUGCGAUAAUGAAGAAUCAGAUAUUACAUCACCGAACACACUGACUCCAUUAAAGCGCAAAAAACUCUAUCAUUGCAGAAGACGACUUUACGCAAGGAGAGCAUCAGAUGUCAAGCUGUAAUAGGCUGAAACUUGAUUAAAAGCUAAUUGUGAUCAAAGUGGGCACAAUAAUGCUAAAAUGGAAAUUAAAGACUUCUAAACUGAAUUAGAAGCUUGAGAUCAGUCAUUGGCACACUUUGGAAGUGUGGGAAUAGAUACAAGUGGAAAAGAAGUGACAAAAGAAUUCCAAUUGCCAUGGUAACUCGAAUGCUGAAUUUUGUAGUCGAUUUGGUCGAAAUGAACCAUAUGAUGUCAAAAUGAAAAGGAAUUGUUUCCAAAUUAAAUUGGUAGCUUGGGAAGGUCCCUUGGUGUAUUUUGGAAGUGUUUGGGUGAAAUCGGAGCGAAAACAGAAGAUUUGAAAUUUUCUGUAAAGAAUGGGACUGAGAAAAUUAGCAGAAAAUGCACAGUGUCAGAAAAUUAUGAAAAUUCGCAGAGAUGUCAGGAACAUUAUUAUGAGGCUAGAUUUGAAGUUUUAUAUUUUUCUAACACCUGUAGAGAGAGAAAUAGCAUCUGAAAGUUAUCGGAUAAAGAUUACAGUUCGGGACAGUUCGCAGUGACCAAACGGGGUCGAAACUGAAAUGUUAAAAUUUCAGUGGACUUGUCAAGUAAAAACGAACAUUCCUGCCAAAUUUGAGCUCAAUCGGACUGUCGGAAGGGCCUGCGAAAGGUAUUUGAUCCGCGCGGCUAAACGGAUUAGUCGAGGGGCAAAAUGGUAAUUAGCUAUGGCUUAGUGGAAUUCCACUAAACCUGCCAACAGGGGAGCUCCAUCCUUAUCCCCCUUCUGCAGCCCAUACGUAGAGAGAGAAGAGAAGAAGAAGAAGAAGAAGAAGAAAAAGAAAGGUGAGAAUUUUAUUUCCUCUCUCUCUCCUUGCUUUGUUUCUUCCCUUCUCCCUGCUGUCAGCCUUAGCAGCGAGCAGCAGCAGCUUGCUCAGCAGCAGCAGCAGUGGCAGCUGCUGCCAGCAGCAGCAGCAGCAGCAGCAGCACAAGCAACCUGCUGCAGCAGCAGCAGCUUAGCCAGCUGCUGCCAGCAGCUUCAGCAGCAGUAGCUUCAGCAGCAGCAGCUUCAGCAGCAGCAGCAGCUUCAGCAGCUAGCAGCAGCAGCAGUGGACAGCAGCAGCAGCUGCUGGAGUAGCAGCAGCAAUAGCAUCAGCAGCAGCUGCAGCAGCCAGCAGUCAGCAGCAGCAGCAGCUCAGCAGGAGCUGCUGAGCAGCAGCUUCAGCAGCAGCAGCCAGCAGCAGUGGCAUCAGCAGCAGCAGCUGCUGGAGUAGCAGCUGAGCAGCAGCAGCAGCAGCAGCAUGCGCAGCAGCAGUGGCAGCAGCAGCUGCUGCCCUGCAGGGGCAGCAAGCAAGAAAAGAAAGAAAAGAAAGGAAAGGAAAGGAAAGAAAAGAAAGGAAAGAAAAGAAAGGAAAGAAAAGAAAAGAAAGCAAGAAAGAAAGAUAAUGAAAUAGAGUGAAAGAUGAAUCGAAGUAUUUAGACAGUUUUUACUAACUGAUUUGAGGUCCUUGGGCUAAUAAAGAGUUGAAUUACUCUAUUGAAUUGUGAAAUUGCAUUGAAAUAGUGUUUUUGAGAAAACUGACCCCGGCAAUGCACUUUUGCAAAAUAAGAAUCCUAAAGUGAAAUUGACCGCGUAUAAACCAAAUUGAGGGUAAAAGAAACGCGUUGGCGAAGUCGGUUCGGCAAUCCGACGAACCUACGCAAAGAUAUCGCCAAAAGAAGGUUUUCGGCUAUAGUUGCCGCUUUCUGUAGCAUUGAAAUGCUAACUUGUAAAAUAUGAGCGAUGACUCUAGUUUAAUCUCUCCUAGUCUUAUGUAAAUGAUAAUUGAACAUGUUCGAAAGUCUAAAUUGACUUUUCUACAGGUCGACGACGCGCUAAUUACGGUAGAGGCCGUUCUAGUUCUAUUUGCACGGAGUCGCGACAGAAAGUUGUCGACGCUUUUCGAGACCCUGAUCUUAGUGGAUUGACACCACUACAGGUGGGUCGGAUCUUCCCAAAAUGGGUGAAUUUCCUCUAUGUCUCCUUUGACAUCUGAGUUGAAGUUAUUUCAUAUUCUUGUGAAUAUAUGUAUAGUUUAAAGCAGUGAGACAUGCACUGAUAUGUAGAUCAUAUCGGAAAUGAUAGCAUCUUUAAAUGGUAAUGAAAGAUUCAGGACUUGUCCAUUCUACAUGGUUACCUGUUAGGUACUAUGAAUUCAUGAUCCUAGUAGCUGGUAUAUGCAAUUUGGCUUGUUGUUAUCCACGAGGAUAGCAUGGUAAGUUCGUGAAUGGACUAAUUAGUUCUGUUGAACAACAAAGAGAUUGAUGUAUUUAGGAUUGAGCUAUGCAAUAUUAUGUAUAAUUGCUAUACUCUGAAAGUUCAGGUAAAGGCCUUUGUUUGGCAUAUGCAUUUCUAAUUGUAGAAUGAAUGGCAUAGAGAUCAUGAGAAGAGUGUUUUAUCGCUUGCAUUACCUUGUUAGUUUCUACUUUCACAUGAUAGACUGGUAUUAUGGUAUAUGUUCUAGUAAGUAACUAGACUUUCAUAUGAUGGCAUAACUUGAAUGAUUAUUCAACUAAAUAUAAUCUAGUAGAUAACUAGAUUUGGAUAUGAUAACAUACUUGUAUAGUCAAGUAGAGAUUUAUAUUGGACUACAGGAUAUGUGCCAUGAGUCUUUGAACAGAACAUUAGCAAACCACUUUCCUUAUGUGUAAGGAGUAGUGAGAGGUUGUGAAUCACUGACCAGGUAUAGCCUGUUAGAGUCAUGAGUGUGAUGUAAAGCCUUAACUUGUCAAGUUAUACUAGUUAUUGGUAGAAUCAUAUCAACAAGUUGUUGAUAGUGACUUAUGAUUGGGUACUACAAUGCCGACCUUGGGUCGAGUUGAGAUUCCAUGUCAGAGACAUGAUGCUGUUGAGAUAUUUGUACCCUGGACUAUAGCUAGCAUGCCAUUAUGCUCUUUCGUACAUGCUUGCGGGGGUCGCGCCCCCCAAGCCUCGCGUUCCGGAGUGGCUUGAGUUGAGAUUCCAUGUCAGGGACAUGAUGUUGUUGUGAGACUGGUACUGUGGACUACGGCUUGCAUGCCAUUGUGUGCGUUUGCACACGCUUGCGGGGUCGCUCCCCCCCAAGCCAGCACUCCCGAACAGCUUAGCGACAGAUGCUCGCAAAUGUACGAAGUGAGUGCCGAAAUGGAAUGCCGUGGGGGAGGCUCAUUCCUCGAGUGGGGAUGUUGACUACCACGGGGCUAUUAGGCACGGCGCGGCUUGAACUUACCUUGGGUAAGUCUGUUGGAAAUUGGGUUAUGACAAGUACUUUAACCUUAGCUGGACAUAGUAAUAUAGUUACUUUAUGUCUUUGGUUAAGUGAACUUAUUGAUGAACAUACUAGAAAGUUGACAUCUAAAGUGAGCUUAGUGAUGAACAACCUAGAAGUUGACAUCAUGAUUGGUUAGCAACAUAAUGAAUGACAUUAUGUCUCUUUCUUGCUAUGGAACAAGGUAAUUACAUGAUAUCAUCUGUAAUUUUAGUAAAGUGAAUUAUCUUGCAUACAUUCUGAUAUAUGUUUGGUUAAAUUGUCAAGUAAUAUGAUUGAUAGAAUCUAUCAUGAUAACUGAUACCUGCAAUCUAUUGUUAUUUAUUUAUGGUUGAGCAAAUAGCAUGAGUAGUUUACUUCCAUAUCUGUUGCAUAUAAUUGCUUAUUGUAUUAUCUGCAUUUACUCGCUUAUUUAUUGCUAUCUACUCAUGCCACAGUUGACCUAGUGGUGUACUUCGCCACUCUCGGCGGCUUACCCACUGGGAACUAUUGUUUAAUAGUUCUCACGCCCUCUUUGUUGUUGUUUUUUUUUACAGAGCCUUCCACAGCGGGAAAGGCUAGGGUUCCUGGCGAGGGGUCAGCGACUAGCUAGAGCCUUUUUGGACGUGUACUAGAUCACCUCCAGCAGUUUAUAUAGUUUAGUAUCGAGAUGUAUAUUAAGUUAUUAUAAUUGUACUUUAUUCUUAUUUUCUGUUCUAAGGCUUGGAUUGUAUAAGUCUAAACUUAUAAGUCUUGCUCUGAUUACCUAGUUGAAUUAUAUGCUUUUACUAUAUGGUUUGUAGACGCCUUGUGUAUACUUGCGUUGUGGUGUACACGGCGGGUCUGUGCACGCAACCGGAUAUGCUUCCGCUGGUACCCGGGCGUGACACAAGCAACAAGCAGAAAAUAUUUAUCAAGAAGGAAAAAGACUAAAUAAUUUUGAUGCUUAUAUCGGAGAUUGGGGAUUUUAAGUAUUAGCCAUUUUGGACAUUUGUUUAAUUGUAUUUUGGUAAUAUUUUGGAUAUUUUAAGCAUUAGACAUUCCCAUUUUUGAUAUUUUAAGCAUUAGUCAUUGUCUUUUUUAAAAAAAACUUUCUUUGAAAUAAAAUAUUUACUUAAGCAUUAGUCAUUGUCUUUUUUAAAAAAAACUUUCUUUGAAAUAAAAUAUUUAAUUAAAAAAUUAGUUCUUAAUGUAGUCUUUGUCUUUUUUUUUUUUAACUUUCUUUCAAAUAAAAUAUUUGCUUUAAAUAUUUGCUUUUUUUUGGGAGGGAGGUGGGCGAACUUUUACAAAAAGGUUUUUUUGGGAGGGAAGUGUUUCAGAACUUAAUAUAGGUGAGCAGUUUAUUUUUCAUGUUAUUUCAAAAUUUAUAAUUUUUCAACAAUUCAACUUUGUCAUUUUAUUUUUUAAAUAAAUUUAGAUAUUUUUCUGAAAAAAUUCACUAAUAUUAUGAUAUUUAUCAUUUAACUUAUUUAACAAUAUAUCUAUAUUGUUAUUGGAGCAGGUAUUUUCCAUCUUCAUUCAAUAAAGUUUUUUUUCUUUAUAUUUUUUUGAAGGCCAACAUCUAUAUAUUUUUGAAUUUUAAAAAUUUGCAUGUCUCUUAUAUACGUGUGCUUACUAUAAUUUGUGUCAAAUAUGAAAGUUUAGUUGAUCUUAUUAUAUGCUUAAAUAUUAAUGUCAUUUGUAAUUUUUCAUAUCAAUUUUAGUUAUCAUUUUGCUUUGCACAUCAAUAUGUAAAUGUAAAUUAUUUUGCACACCAAUUCAUAGAUAAUAGAGCAGCAUUGAAUUUUGCUUUUUACUUGAGUAUUUACUUUGGUCCAUAAUUUUUUUUCUCUAGCUUUUGUACUUUAAUAUGUACUAUAAUUAAGAUUGAUAGUAUAUUUUUUUAUUUGUUAAAAAAAUAUAAUAUUAAUUAGAAUAUUUUUUUUAUCAUCACAUAAUAACUUUUGUUAGUUUAUAUUAUUAUAUAUUAUCCGUACAUUGCACGGGUCAAAUACUAGUUAUAAAAAAUGGACGGAACAGUGACCGAACCUUGACGUAGGGAGACUAAAUACAACAAUUUAAAAUAUUGAGAGGAUAAAAUAUAGGUUUUAAAAAAUUAGGAAGAAAAAGUGAAAAAAAGAAUAUUUAUAAGGGGAUUUUCUAUAAUUUAAACUUUAGGCAUAAUUGCCUAUAUACCCCUCAUGCGUCUGGAAAUAUCCGAUCUAACCCUACUUUUUUUUUCUUUCUAAAAUGCCCCUCAUAUGUUCCACUGUUAUUCUAAAAUACCCCCGCAGUUAUCCCCUGUUAACUUAACUCGGGUUAAACAUAGGUUAAAUGUAUACUAGAGUUAAAACCUAUAUAAAAUACCUAUUUUACUCCUAACUUAUUAUGCCAAUUCCUUAAGUUAUCAUCUUUCUCUCCCAAGUCCCAACUUGAUCGCCGGCUCCUCCGCCUCCAUCUCGCCAGCUCCCGCUUGCCGAAUUAUAUCCGUACCGAAUUUUUGCCGAAUCCAAAUUAACUAACUAUGCCUCCAGCUACCAAGGUUGGUUUAACUACGAUCGGUCUCGACGUGCUUAAUUAAUUAAUUUAUAUUUGAAGGGCAAAUAAGAAAAAUAUUUGCUAUAUAAAGGGUAUAUAAGAAAAGUUAGUUACGAUAGAAGGAUAUAUUGGAAUGGGCAAAAUGGUAAUUUUACAGAGAUAACGGCAACUCACUAACGGAGCUUAACUCCAGGGGUAUAUUAGAAAGACUUGGAACAUAAGAAGGGUAUUUUCAAUAUUAGCCUUCUAAGAGGGGUAUAUAAGAAAACCGGAAACUUUUCAGGGGUAUAUAGGCAAUUGCCCCUAAACUUUAAAUUUACAUGUAUUUUAUGUUCGUGCAUAAAUAGGAAGAUGAAAUCCCACAAAAAUCCCAUUAAUAGCCACAAAAUAUUAAAAUCGAGAUACAAAAAAAAAACAAAUUAAUAGCCUAGCAGGUGAAACUUUAUUGUGUGCUUUAUAAACUAAAAUUUCUAGAACUCAAAUCUAGAUGCCUUAACCCUCAAAUGUAAAAGCAUUGAAUGUAAUCUAGAACCCUACAUAGUUUAUUUAUGCAUGAAAAUUCGUAGUUUUUUAAAAAUAAUAUCUCAUUGUUUACAUUUGGGUUUUAAGACUUGUAGGUUUGGUAGAACAAGUAAUUAAAUAGCAAAGACAAUUAGACAAAAAUAAAAUAUCAAGUAAAACUAAAAUAAAGCAUGAAAAGAUCGACUAUUUUUUUAAUCUAAUAGAUAUUAUGCAUUCCAUGCACGUGUUAACGAAUACAUAUUAGGAUGCUAUUUCCUUCCUUGUAGAAAACUUGAUUUAUUAUUUGAGUAAUUUUCUCAUAUUAUUAGGAGUUUUCUUUCUUUUGUUAGUCAUGUAAUUGUGUUAUCCCUAUUGAAUAAAUGAGUCUUAAACCUAGCUCAAUUACAGCAAGAAAUAACAUAAUCUAAAGAAAACAAAAAAAAAAAAAAAACCAAAAAAGUAUAAGAUAAGUAAUAAGAAUAAUGGAAGAAAUUAAAUAUGUGCGUACCUGAAUCGCUAAAUAUCCAUUCAUGUAUUAAAUAGAAAGACCAGUGUAGAAAUCCAAAUGGCUAAAUGCAUGUUCAUGUGCGAGGAGAAAGAGCAGCAGAGAGAUCCAAAUGGCUUUCAACGUACUGAAUCGCUAAAUUGCUAUUCAUGUGUUAGGGUGAAAGAGCCCAUGUGUUGAGGAGAAAGAAUAGCGUAGAGGUUCAAAUGGCUCUCAAUGUAUUUAUAAGCAUGCAUGAUAAAUAAAGUUUGAUUCUUUGCUUAUCAUUUGGGAAAAGAACCUGUUUUAAUGAAAAUUAAAGAUGAAGCUACAACCUGAUACUAAUUGCACAUCCAACUUAUUUCUUUUCUAUUUUUAACUUUUUCUACAAUAGUUUAACUUUAUUUUAUUAUAAAUAAUAUACAUCAUUACUAAAAGUAAGAUUACUAUAUGUCAACAAUUUAGCUGGCCACUUGACGAAAAUAGUAACUGCGACUAUAAAAAUAUGAUUCUUUACUUGCCACUUUAGAAAGAACUUACAUAUUUUAAUGUAAAUUAAAGAUGUAGUGUUAGGAUUCAUUGAUAUAUAUUCUUGUUUCAAUUAAUUUCAAAAUAAACUACUUGCUGACCCAUGCAUAGCACCUAGAUAUUUUAGAACUUUAUUUUUUAAAUAAUAAAUUAAUUUAAUAACAUUGGAUAUUAUUACACAUUUGAUGUAGUCAUAGAUAGAGAUAUUGAUUGCAUAUCCAAAUUUCUUUCCUAUUUCAAGUUCUUCCUAUAACAAUUUAAAAUUUUUUAAUUAUAAAUAAUCAAGUUGUCUUAAAUAAGAUUGGCAUGUGUCAAGAACUUGGAUUGUCAUAUGAUUCUUUGCUUGCAACUUUUGAAGAGAAACCAUUUUAAAAUAAAGGUGGUGGGUUGGUGAUUUUUUAGCUCUAUUCUUGUACUGGUUGCUUGUUAAAUAAACUAGUUGUUAAUUGAUGCAUUGUACACAUAAAUUUAAGAAAUUUUAUUUUAGAAAAUAAUAAAUUAAAGUUAGGAGAAAUAAUCUAUUGCAUAGAUUAUUUUAAAUUUAAAAAACUAAUUAUUUUAGAGAUAGUUUUUUGAAAUAAGAUUUGACAAGGUUACAUAUUACAUGUAGCUUUAUAUUUAUGGACUGACUGCAUACCCAAAUUUUCUUCUAAAUUUUAAUUUUUUUAAUAAUAGUUUUAGGAGAUCUCUAAAAGAUUUGAAAUAAUCUUAUAUAUGAGAUAUGAUAGGAUUAAACCUCUUAAUUUGGUUAUAACAUUUUUGGUAGUGACUAGACGAAAGAGAUUAAUUAGGAGAGUUAAUCUUGCUAGAUCUAAAGUAGUUCUAUGAUUGGUGACUCUUGUGAAGUAGGAUGUCACAGUUGGUGUCAGAGCCAAUCACCAGCAAGAAAGUGUGAGAUAAGUCUUGACGGGUAGAGUGCGGCUUUCCAGCUGACGAUUGUUGUGGGUGGAAGGCGGCUUCCCACAAGAUCAGCUAAGGCUAGUAAUUCUUUCCCCCUACAUUUGAAAUAGUUCUAUAUACGAGAUAAAGUAGGGUUAAACCUAUUAACCAAACGAUAGUAUUUCGGAUGGUGACUAGACUCAAGAGGUUAAAAGCGUUAAACGUGUUAGAGGUGGAGUAAUUAUAGGAUGGAUGAAUUCUUGAGAAAUGGAGCAUUACAAGUUUAAAAUUUUUUCACUAUAAUAAUAGAAUUAUUUUAAGCAAGAUUGCCAUGUUCAAUAAUUUAGAUUGCCACUUGGCAAAAGAAGAAGUUUCAAAUACAAAAGUAUGAUUAUUUACAUGCCAUUUUAGAAACCAAUUUAUUUUAAAUCAAUUUAAAGAUGCCUGAUUGGGGAUUCUUUUGGUUCUAUAUUCUUGGCUCAAUUAAUUUGAAGAUAAACUAGUCAUUAAGUACCCAUGCGUUGCAUACAAAUAUUUUUAAAGUUUUAUUUUUUAAAAAUUUUAAAUUACUUAUAAGAAUAUUUAUAAAUUACUUAUCAAAAAUUUAAAAUCUAAUUACUAGCUUAUAGGAAUAAGUUCCUUAAAUAAGGUUGAAAAAAAAUUACACAUUCGAUUUAGCUGCAGAUAGAUAUGAUGAUCGCACACCAAUAUCUCUUUCUUACUUUUAAUCUUUACUCACUAGUUUAAACCUUUUGCAAUUAUAAAAAUAUAAUUGUGUUAAUUAAGAUUAUUACAUACCAACAAUAUAGUUGGGUGAAACAAAAGGUUUCUGCUUUAAUUAAAGUAUUAUUCUUAACUUGUUGCUUUGGAAAGGAACCAAUUAUAAAGCAAAUUAAAGAUAAAGGGUUGGGAAUUCUUUGCUUUAGUAUGCUAUGCUCGAUUAAUUUCAAAAUAAAUUAAUGCUUAACAUGUGCAUUUGCACACAAAUAUUUUUAAAAUUUUACUUGUUUUAAAGAAAUAAUAAUUUAGUUUUAAGAAAAAUAAUAUAUUCUACAAAAUUGUUUAAAACUAUUUAAAACCUAAUUAUUCGUAGAGAUUAUAACUUUUUUUAAAUAAACUUCAAUAUAUAGACUGCAUAUACAAAUCAAAGAUGUAGGAUAGGAAAUUCUUUAAUUCUAUAUUUUUUAUUUUAUUAAUUUCAAAAUAAAAUAGUUGUUAACCCGUGCUUUGAACAUAGAUAUUUUAAAUUUUAUUUUUUGAAGGAUCAUAAAUUUAUAGAGAUUUGAGCGUGUCAAGCCGCCUAUCACGAAGACGGCCGCACAAUCAAGUCGGUUGGAGAUUCGUCGUCACGUCAUUCGCACGUUUAUGUAGGUCUUUCGUCGAUGUUGGGAAGACAGAUGAUUGGUGAAUACGCGCACACGAUAAUACCGAUUCAAUACCUGAUUUGAUCAGGUCGGCCUAUCAUGAAGACGGUCCUGUUAAUCAAACCAGCAAAAGAAUCACUACUAUACCGUUUGCACGUAUACACCAAUCUAUCGUCGUUGAGGAAGAAAAAGAAAGAGGCUAUGAGGCCUCCUUCCACGCCGUUGUUAUUGUUGAAGUCGUCAUCGUCGUCGGAGAAGAAGAAAGAGAAGGUCAUAAGGUCUCUUUGCACACCGUCAUCGUCGUCAAAGUCAUUACCGCCGCUGCCUUCUUCAUGCCUUUAACUCUCUUUCUUUUUCUUUUUCUUUUUCUUUUUCAUUUUUUUUGGGCUGAGAGAGGAGGGGCCCAUGCCUUCUCUCUCUCUCUCUCUCUCUCUCUCUCUCUCUCUCUCUCCAGGUAUGAACAAGAGAAUGAGAGGCGUGGUCCAAUUUAUAGUAAUUUUAGAAUCUCUUUAUUUUGAAAAAUAAUUCAAAAAAUUUUUGAAGAUAAAACAACAAUAUUUUUUUUUUAAUCUUUUCUCUUGUUGACAUCUAUCUAAGAAAAGUAAUAAUUAAAUCGUACUUUAAUUUCUUUCCUUCUAUAUCUUCAAUUUGAAUUUGAUUUUUUUAAAAAUCUCAAACAAAGUAUAUUCUCAAUUUAAAUAUGAAUUUUUUUUUUAAUCUCAAACAGUAUCAAUUAAUUCAAUUAAUUUCAAAAUAAACUAGUUGCUGGACCCAAUGCAUAGCACACAGAUAUUUUAAAACUUUAUUUUUUAAAUAAUAAAUUAAUUUAAUAGGAUGGGAUAUUAUUAUACAUUUGAUGUAGUCAUAGAUAGGUAUAUUGAUUGCAUAUCCAAAUUUCUUUCCUACUUUAAGUUCUUUCUAUAACAAUUUAAACUUUUUUUUAUUAUGAAUAAUCUAGUUGUCUUAAAUAAGAUUGGUAGGUGUCAAGAACUUUGAUCCUCGUAUGAUUCUUUAAAAUUUGCAACUUUUGAAGAAAACGUUAACCCAUUUUAAAAAUAAAGAUGGCGGGUUGAUGAUUUUUUAGCUUUAUUAAUUUUUGUACUGGUUGCUUGUUAAAUAAACUAGUUGUUAAUCGGUGCAUUGUACAUGAAUAUUUAAGAAAUUUUAUUUUAGAAAAUAAUAAAUUAAAGUUUAGGAGAAAUAAUCUAUUGCAUAGAAAAAUUUUAAAUUUAAAAAACUAAUUAUUUUUAGAGAUAGUUUUUUGACAUAAGAUUUGACAAGGUUACAUAUUACAUGUAGCUAUAUAUUUAUGGACCGACAACAUACCCAAAUUUUCUUCUAAAUUUUAAUUUUUUCAAUAAUAGUUUUAUGAGAUCUCUAAUAAAAGAUUUGAAAUAGUCUUAUAUAUGAGAUAUGAUAGGAUUAAAUCUCUUAAUUUGGCUAUAACAUUUUUAGUGGUGACUAGACCAAAGAUAUUAGGAGAGUUAAGUUUGCUAGAGCUAAAGUAGCUUUAGGAUUUGCGACUCCUGCGAAGUAGGGUGUUAACAGUUGGUAUUAGAGCCAAUCACCUGCAGGAAGUGUGAGAUAAGUCUUACAUUAGUUAGGGUUAUAUAACGGAUAGAGUGCGGAUUUUCAGCUGACGAUUGUUGUGGGUGGAAGGCGGCUUCCCACAAGAUCUAUAUUUGAAAUAUAUAGUCAUUUAUGACGGGCACGUUGUAUUCAAGUACAACUGUACAAAUACAAUACCCGAUCGAGCAGCUACUUGAAUAAAUAAGAUGGGCUUUCAAUUGGAUCAAACUACUCAUACUUCACGUUAUUUUAUUAUGUCCAAGUAGUUACUCUCUGUACGUAUCAGUCGGUUUGUCUUGGUAUUCGAAUUAGCAGCAACAAAUUAUUGUCUGUGAUACAACAGUAACUUAUAACUAGACAUUAUUCUCUUAAUUAGUAUGAUUUGCUUUUGGAAUAUUAGGAUUCAUAAUUGAGCAGAUCUAAGAACCUGACCUUGAUUACAUACUACAUGCAUGUAUUGUGAAAAGAUAUUUGUAUCGGUUGGUCCUCAUCGGAAUUCUCCUCGCCACUAUCACACUUUUGAGUUAAAAGUAUAUAUAUUGUUGCCAGAAUUGAACAAAUCAAGGCUGCUGGUUUCUAUCAAGUCUUAGCUACAUGCAUGCAAUUUCUAUUUUAUAGAUCAGCUUUAUAUGUCCUCUCUAUAUGAGCAAAUAUAUAUAAUUCAUACACAUUAAUUGAGAUAUAUAGUCCAAGGAUCUCUAAACCAGAUUAAUUCAAGACUACAACAGCAACAUGAGCAUCUCUGGAUUUCUUUUUUUAUUUACUUGGAAGUUGAUGCGAAAUAAACCUUGUUACAGAUUAAUUCAAGACUACGGCCUGGCCGAGGCCGUGAGUGCUGUCAUCAACAUUCUUGGCAUGCAACCAUGCGAGGUCAGUAGGCUUUUUAUGUAGUCGAUUGCAUAUGCCAAUAUUGUACUUCCAGUUACCAUUUUGGGUUUUUUUUUUUUGUUUCCUAAAUUGAGACAAAGUUAUCUCUUCUGUAUCGGUCACUAUUUAACAUUAACCAUGUGAGAGAUUUUAUCAAAUUUGACUAAAUAAUCAACCAGGGGGAUAUUUAUAGUGGUGUAGCUUAAAUUCACUUCGCCUUCUGGUGUGUAGCUGCUGUUGUGGGUCUCCCUAACAGGACCUCCUGUUAACUACAAAAAUAAAUGAAGCACAAUGUUCACACAACUCAGAAAAACACCUCUGUAAAUAAGGAUUUGAGUUAUCUAAUUUUAUCGACUCUGUUAGUUUAAAGUGGUUUAAUGAGUCACAAUGAUUCGUAAAGUUUAAACAAUGAGGUUAUUACGUGGGGAUCUCUAUAUAAGUUCUGCAGAUAAUUAAAUUUCACCUAUUUACCAUUUUAAGUUUUAAUCUGAUGCUUUUAAAAAAACGUGGUUUAAUGGCGCAGGGAACUGAAGUGGUGCCGAGCAAUUCGAGGUCGCACUGUUACGAUAUAUUUUAUCAAUAUUAGGAUGUUACGAUAUAUUAGGAUAUUGUAUUUUUUUGCCUUAUAUAGAGUAGUAUCAUUGCCUUCUAUAGAGUAGAAUUAUAUAGUAUGUAAUCCUAGUUAUACUCUUACUAUAGUAGUCAUUGUUACUAUAGUAAGACAAUCUCUUGUACUAUAUAUAUUCAUUAAUACAAUUCAAGAGGGUAUGCACUUUAGCCCUUCUUUCACGCACACGUGCCUUCUGUCCGGUGUCUACAUCGGCAACGUGAAGGUCCUGGCAAGGCUGUCUUUUGGGAUCAGCGGGCCCAAGGAGGUCGCGAUGAAGCUCGUGGUGAGAUCGGGGGAUCCGGACGUCACCGCCAGAAUCCACCAAAUCGUCAUCGAGAGUUAACAACGGAGAGUUAAAUGUCUCCCCAUCUUCUUCCUUCUUCUUUCCCCCAGUGGGAACUUAAAGCAGUAGAUGAAGGGCUCCCUUCCUUUCUCUCUCUCUCUCUCUCUCUCAUUUAAUUACUUUUCACUCGAUAGUUAAGAAAAACAGCUCUUGUAAGUUUUGAGAGAAGACACUUUGCGUCAAGUUGGGUGGGUGAGAGGAUGUUUCUGGUGUUCAGAAAUUAUACCUAGUGAGAUUCGUUUUACUUGAAGACUCUUUCGCCAGAUUUUUUUAAAAAAAUUUUUAUCUUUAUUUUAUAGUAGAAUCUUGUGAACCAUCUUAUUGAGACUUUAAUUGCUCUAUAUUGUUAUUCUUUGUUCAGAGGAGCAGUAAAAUCUCUCCUGCACUUUGUUGUGAUAAAUAAUUUAUAGGCAUGUUGUUGUGUGAUGUAUUGUUGUAAUUUAACUUCGGUAGGGCCCUGUUUGGGACUUUUUUCAGGUUUUCCAUUUCAGUGGUAUUGAGCUAGCUCGAAACACAUGAUUUUUUUUUUUUUUUUUGGUCAAAUUUAAGAUAUUUGAAUCACUCUGAAUUUCACUGGGCUUUCCAAACUAGCAUCCUAUUUUUAGAGAAAGAAAGUUAAAGGGAGAGAGUCGAAUGGACAGGGGCCCAUUUGGUAGUGAUAGCUAUGCAAUGUUAUUGGGAGUUUUUUUUUUUUUUUUUUUUUUUUUUUUU